GGAAGACUGCCUCCCACCUUCGGACCGUGGAUCGGAUAAACGGUGCCCUGGCAUCACGAAGUGAACAAGCAUUCAAGAUAUCUGCUUCCUGUCAGUGAAUAGGGAGCUCGAUCUGCUUAUUUCCCGGUUAUGAAAUAUUUUUUUAGUCAUCUUAGAGAACUCAGGUUAAACCUUUAUAAAGCAUUGAACCUGCUUAGGAAUCCAAUGAUACUGGAAUUUCCCACUGUUUGAUGUUCAGGACACUAGGAAAGAUAAUAUCACUUUUGAAACUAUAAGGCAGGGGCCAUACUGGGG
Molecule: long non-coding RNA, 294 nt
Organism: Hyla sarda
Lineage: Eukaryota; Metazoa; Chordata; Amphibia; Anura; Hylidae
Exons: 3
Source: RefSeq, a predicted model, not a curated record